GCAGAAGAGCUUCUCUCCAUUGGCAGGCGAAUUAUGGUUUAGCUUUCAUGUCCUGCCAAAGGAGAGUUGCCCUUCAUCUAGU
This 82-nucleotide microRNA precursor is filed under the name Cucumis melo (muskmelon). RNAcentral describes it as "miR399e stem-loop (cme-MIR399e)". Its record names the gene cme-MIR399e. The record is from miRBase by way of RNAcentral. Lineage: Eukaryota; Viridiplantae; Streptophyta; Magnoliopsida; Cucurbitales; Cucurbitaceae.